RNAcentral lists this ribosomal RNA (1429 nucleotides) under Bacillus tequilensis. Its description in RNAcentral is "bacterial SSU rRNA". It matches the Rfam family "Bacterial small subunit ribosomal RNA". Lineage: Bacteria; Bacillati; Bacillota; Bacilli; Caryophanales; Bacillaceae. The record is from RNAcentral.
CUUANNNNUGCAGUCGAGCGGACAGAUGGGAGCUUGCUCCCUGAUGUUAGCGGCGGACGGGUGAGNNNNNCGUGGGUAACCUGCCUGUAAGACUGGGAUAACUCCGGGAAACCGGGGCUAAUACCGGAUGGUUGUUUGNACCGCAUGGUUCAAACAUAAAAGGUGGCUUCGGCUACCACUUACAGAUGGACCCGCGGCGCAUUAGCUAGUUGGUGAGGUAANGGCUCACCAAGGCAACGAUGCGUAGCCGACCUGAGAGGGUGAUCGGCCACACUGGGACUGAGACACGGCCCAGACUCCUACGGGAGGCAGCAGUAGGGAAUCUUCCGCAAUGGACGAAAGUCUGACGGAGCAACGCCGCGUGAGUGAUGAAGGUUUUCGGAUCGUAAAGCUCUGUUGUUAGGGAAGAACAAGUACCGUUCGAAUAGGGCGGUACCUUGACGGUACCUAACCAGAAAGCCACGGCUAACUACGUGCCAGCAGCCGCGGUAAUACGUAGGUGGCHHGBNUUGUCCGGAAUUAUUGGGCGUAAAGGGCUCGCAGGCGGUUUCUUAAGUCUGAUGUGAAAGCCCCCGGCUCANCCGGGGAGGGUCAUUGGAAACUGGGGAACUUGAGUGCAGAAGAGGAGAGUGGAAUUCCACGUGUAGCGGUGAAAUGCGUAGAGAUGUGGAGGAACACCAGUGGCGAAGGCGACUCUCUGGUCUGUAACUGACGCUGAGGAGCGAAAGCGUGGGNAGCGAACCAGGAAUAUAGAUACCNUGGUUAGUCCACGCCGUAAACGAUGAGUGCUAAAGUGUUAGGGGGUUUCCGCCCCUUAGUGCUGCAGCUAACGCAUUAAGCACUCCGCCUGGGGAGUACGGUCGCAAGACUGAAACUCAAANGGAAUUGACGGGGGCCCGCACAAGCGGUGGAGCAUGUGGUUUAAUUCGAAAGCAACGCGAAAGAACCUUACCAGGUCUUGACAUCCUCUGACAAUCCUAGAGAUAGGACGUCCCCUUCGGGGGCAGAGUGACAGGUGGUGCAUGGUUGUCGUCAGCUCGUGUCGUGAGAUGUUGGGUUAAGUCCCGCAACGAGCGCAACCCUUGAUCUUAGUUGCCAGCAUUCAGUUGGGCACUCUAAGGUGACUGCCGGUGACAAACCGGAGGAAGGUGGGGAUGACGUCAAAUCAUCAUGCCCCUUAUGACCUGGGCUACACACGUGCUACAAUGNACAGAACAAAGGGCCAGCGAAACCGCGAGGUUAAGCCNAUCCCACAAAUCUGGUUCUCAGUUCGGAAUCNGCCAGUCUGCAACUCGACUGCGUGAAGCUGGAAUCGCUAGUAAUCGCGGAUNNGCAUGCCGCGGUGAAUACGUUCCCGGGCCUUGUACACANNGNCNGUCACACCACGAGAGUUUGUAACACCCGAAGUCGGUGAGGUAACCUUUUAGGA